This 503-nucleotide ribosomal RNA is filed under the name uncultured bacterium. RNAcentral describes it as "partial 16S ribosomal RNA". It matches the Rfam family "Bacterial small subunit ribosomal RNA", at positions 30 to 523 of the family's 1533-position model. The record is from RNAcentral.
AUUGAACGCUGGCGGCAUGCCUUACACAUGCAAGUCGAACGGCAGCACGGGUGCUUGCACCUGGUGGCGAGUGGCGAACGGGUGAGUAAUACAUCGGAACGUACCCAGUAGUGGGGGAUAACGCACCGAAAGGUGCGCUAAUACCGCAUACGACCUACGGGUGAAAGCGGGGGACCGUAAGGCCUCGCGCUAUUGGAGCGGCCGAUGUCUGAUUGGCUAGUUGGCGGGGUAAAAGCCCACCAAGGCGACGAUCAGUAGCUGGUCUGAGAGGACGAUCAGCCACACUGGGACUGAGACACGGCCCAGACUCCUACGGGAGGCAGCAGUGGGGAAUUUUGGACAAUGGGGGCAACCCUGAUCAAGCAAUGCCGCGUGUGCGAAGAAGGCCUUCGGGUUGUAAAGCACUUUUGUCAGGGAAGAAAUCUUUCAGGCUAAUACCCUUGGAAGGAUGACGGUACCUGAAGAAUAAGCACCGGCUAACUACGUGCCAGCAGCCGCCGUAA